AACGAACGCUGGCGGCAUGCCUAACACAUGCAAGUCGAACGAGACCUUCGGGUCUAGUGGCGCACGGGUGCGUAACGCGUGGGAACCUGCCCUUAGGUUCGGAAUAACUCCCCGAAAGGGGUGCUAAUACCGGAUAAUGUCUUCGGACCAAAGAUUUAUCGCCUUUGGAUGGUCCCGCGUUGGAUUAGCUAGUUGGUAGGGUAAAAGCCUACCAAGGCGACGAUCCAUAGCUGGUCUGAGAGGAUGAUCAGCCACACUGGGACUGAGACACGGCCCAGACUCCUACGGGAGGCAGCAGUGGGGAAUAUUGGACAAUGGGCGAAAGCCUGAUCCAGCAAUGCCGCGUGAGUGAUGAAGGACUUAGGGUUGUAAAGCUCUUUUACCCGGGAUGAUAAUGACAGUACCGGGAGAAUAAGCUCCGGCUAACUCCGU
This 432-nucleotide ribosomal RNA is filed under the name uncultured bacterium. RNAcentral describes it as "partial 16S ribosomal RNA". It matches the Rfam family "Bacterial small subunit ribosomal RNA", at positions 29 to 506 of the family's 1533-position model. The record is from RNAcentral.